GGGAUAAUUAUUGGGCCUUAAAGUGUCCGUAGCCGGUUUAGUAAGUUCCUGGUAAAACCGGGCAGCUUAACUGUCCGUAUGCUAGGAAUACUGCUAUGCUAGAGGGCGGGAGAGGUCUGAGGUACUACAGGGGUAGGGGUGAAAUCUUAUAAUCCUUGUAGGACCACCAGUGGCGAAAGCGUCAGACUGGAACGCGCCUGACGGUGAGGGACGAAAGCCAGGGGAGCGAACCGGAUUAGACACCCGGGUAGUCCUGGCCGUAAACGAUGCAUACUAGGCAAUGGUGCGGCCAUGAGCCGCAUCAGUACCGUAGGGAAACCGUUAAGUGUGCCGCCUGGGAAGUACGGUCGCAAGGCUAAAACUUAAAGGAAUUGGCGGGGGAGCACCACAAGGGGUGAAGCCUGCGGUUCAAUUGGACUCAACGCCGGGAAACUUACCAGGGGAGACAGCAGAAUGACAGUCAGGUUGACGACCUUACUCGACGAGCUGAGAGGAGGUGCAUGGCCGUCGCCAGUUCGUGCUGUGAGGUAUCCUGUUAAGUCAGGCAACGAACGAGAUCCGCGCCUUUAUUUGCCAUCAAGAAGUCACGACUUCGUUGGGAACACUAAAGGGACCGCCGUCGAUAAGACGGAGGAAGGAGCGGGCAAAGGCAGGUCAGUAUGCCCCGAAACCCCUGGGCUACACGCGGGCUGCAAUGGUGCGAACAAUGGGCUGUAACUCCGAAAGGAGAAACCAAUCCCGAAAUCGCAUCUCAGUGGGGAUUGUCGACUGUAACUCGUUGACAUGAACGUGGAAUCCCUAGUAAUCGCGUGUCACCAUCGCGCGGUGAAUAGUCUCUGCUCCU
RNAcentral lists this ribosomal RNA (844 nucleotides) under uncultured archaeon. Its description in RNAcentral is "bacterial SSU rRNA". It matches the Rfam family "Archaeal small subunit ribosomal RNA", at positions 494 to 1337 of the family's 1478-position model. The record is from RNAcentral.